This 54-nucleotide transfer RNA is filed under the name Cooperia oncophora. RNAcentral's name for it is "tRNA-Asn". Lineage: Eukaryota; Metazoa; Nematoda; Chromadorea; Rhabditida; Trichostrongylidae. The record is from RNAcentral.
UAAGGGUUAGUUUAAGUAAAAUUGUUGAUUGUUGAUCAAAAGAUUAUCUCUUAA